RNAcentral lists this ribosomal RNA (689 nucleotides) under uncultured fungus. Its description in RNAcentral is "eukaryotic LSU rRNA". The stretch from base 104 to 257 matches the Rfam family "5.8S ribosomal RNA". Lineage: Eukaryota; Fungi. The record is from RNAcentral.
AUCCCGUGUUCACCGCGCGGGCCCUCCCCCUACGAGGGCUUGCGUUGCUCAUAUUUUUUGAUACCACGCCCAAUGUUAUAUUGCCGUCUCUAACAAUCAAUACUACUUUCAACAACGGAUCUCUUGGCUCUCGCAUCCUCGAACAACGUGACGAAAUGCGAUUCGCAAUGUGAAUUGCAGAAUUCAGUGAAUCAUCGAAUCUUUGAACGCGCCUUGUGCCCCUUGUCAUUCCAAGGGGCACACCCGCUUGAGUGUCGUGGAAUCUUCAAAAACCUUUCUCUUUGAUUAUCUUUGGUCGGGAGAGGGAUGUUUUUGGACUUGGAGGAUCCAUGCUUGCUUUCUUGUUGAAAGUGAGCUCCUCUCAUAUGAAUUAAUGGGGUCUGCUUUGCUGGUCCUUGACGUGAUAAGAUUUUUCUACGUUUUGGAUUUCCACUGUCACUUAGAUGCCUGCUCCUACCUGGCUCACAGACUUCGAUGGUGCUCUGGUCACCGCCAUCUACAUUGGUGGAGGACGCUGGACCCCUUGAACUCAAAACCUUGAACUCUACUCGCGUGAGACAACCCGAUGAAUUUAAGCAUGUCAUAAAGCGGACGAAAAAUACACUAACAAGCAUUCCCCCUAGUACUGCUAGUGCAACGUUAAAAUCUCAAAUUUAUAAUCUGGUGGUCAUUUGUCCCUUCCUAGUUGU